RNAcentral lists this ribosomal RNA (447 nucleotides) under uncultured bacterium. Its description in RNAcentral is "bacterial SSU rRNA". It matches the Rfam family "Bacterial small subunit ribosomal RNA", at positions 329 to 794 of the family's 1533-position model. The record is from RNAcentral.
CGCCAGACUCCUCGGGAGGCAGCAGUGGGGAAUAUUGCACAAUGGGGGAAACCCUGAUGCAGCGACGCCGCGUGAGUGAAGAAGUAAUUCGUUAUGUAAAGCUCUAUCAGCAGGGAAGAAAAUGACGGUACCUGAGUAAGAAGCCCCGGCUAACUACGUGCCAGCAGCCGCGGUAAUACGUAGGGGGCAAGCGUUAUCCGGAUUUACUGGGUGUAAAGGGAGCGUAGACGGCAGUGCAAGUCCGGAGUGAAAGCCCGGGGCUCAACCCUGGGACUGCUCUGGAAACUGUAAAGCUGGAGUGCGGGAGGGGCAGGCGGAAUUCCUGGUGUAGCGGUGAAAUGCGUAGAUAUCAGGAGGAACACCGGCGGCGAAGGCGGCCUGCUGGACCGUAACUGACGUUGAGGCUCGAAAGCGUGGGGAGCAAACAGGAUUAGAUACCCCCGUAGA